Molecule: transfer RNA, 66 nt
Filed under: Osbornellus sp. EMHAU-2015-Zz052506
Lineage: Eukaryota; Metazoa; Arthropoda; Insecta; Hemiptera; Cicadellidae
Description: tRNA-Leu
Source: RNAcentral
AAUGGAUUGGCAGAUUAGUGUAUUAAAUUUAGAAUUUAAUUAAGUAAGUUUUAUUUACAUUCAUUA